Molecule: long non-coding RNA, 1503 nt
Filed under: Cyanistes caeruleus (blue tit)
Lineage: Eukaryota; Metazoa; Chordata; Aves; Passeriformes; Paridae
Description: lncRNA (ENSCCEG00000021880.1)
Source: RNAcentral
GUCCUGACCCCUCCCGGUGUCCCGGGACAAACACGGGGACGGGUCCUGACCCCUCCCGGUGUCCCGGGACAAACACGGGGACGGGUCCUGACCCCUCCCGGUGUCCCGGGACAAACACGGGCACAGCCCCCGGUUCCCCCCGUGCCCUGGAGGCGCCGGGUCCCGGCUUUGCUCUAUCCCGGGCUGCUGCCAGCCCUGUCCAACCCGGCCAGGAUCCCCCUGGAAUCCCCGGUGGAUCCCCCUGGAAUUCCCUUGGAUCCCCCUGGAAUCCCUGGUGGAUCCCUCUGGAAUCCCUGGUGGAUCCCCCUGGAAUCCCCAGUGGAUCCCUCUGGAAUCCCGGUGGAUCCCCCUGGAAUCCCUGGUGGAUCCCCCUGGAAUUCCCUUGGAUCCCCCUGGAAUUCCGGUGGAUCCCCCUGGAAUCCCCGGUGGAUCCCUCUGGAAUCCCUGGUGGAUCCCCCUGGAAUUCCCUUGGAUCCCCCUGGAAUUCCGGUGGAUCCCCUGGAAUCCCUGGUGGAUCCCUCUGGAAUCCCGGUGGAUCCCCCUGGAAUCCCGGUGGAUCCCUCUGGAAUUCCCUUGGAUCCCCCUGGAAUUCCCUUGGAUCCCUCUGGAAUUCCCUUGGAUCCCUCUGGAAUUCCCUUGGAUCCCUCUGGAAUUCCCUUGGAUCCCCCUGGAAUUCCCUUGGAUCCCCCUGGAAUUCCCUUGGAUCCCCUGGAAUCCCCGGUGGAUCCCUCUGGAAUCCCCGGUGGAUCCCCCUGCCCGGGUGUUGGGCUCAGGGGGAUCCCCCUGUGCCACCCCGGGCUCUCCCAGCAGAAUUCCCUGGUGCCAAUCCCGCCCUGGGCAUCGCUGGCAGCUCCCGGGACGUGCUGGAAAUCCGGGAUUGGGGCAGAAAUCCGGGAUUGGGUCAGAAAUCCGGGAUGUGGCAGAAAUCCGGGAUGUGGCAGAAAUCCGGGAUUGGGGCAGAAAUCCAGGAUUGGGGCAGAAAUCCGGGAUUGGGUCAGAAAUCCGGGAUUGGGUCAGAAAUCCGGGAUGUGGCAGAAAUCCGGGAUUGGUGCAGAAAUCCGGGAUUGGGUCAGAAAUCCGGGAUUGGGGCAGAAAUCCGGGAUUGGGUCAGGUUUCCCGGCCCUUCCAUGCUCAAACUCCAGGAUUCCCCCCAAGCCCCCAUUCCCGCCCUGUGGAUCCCGGCGGGACGAGGAUCCAAACGCUGCCGUUAAUUCACCGGCUCCAUCCCGGGAGCAGGAAUCGCUGCCUGCCGGGCUCAUCCCGGCUUUUUUGGGAAUGUUCCAACCCCGAGCUCCCCAGGGCAGGCGGGGAAGGGGAAAUUCCUGCUGGGAACCCCCGGGAGCUCGGGAGGGGCUGGGAAGGAUGGGAUUGUCUCGUUCAUCCAUGGGCUGCGCGGAGCUGCUGGGAUUUCCUGGGAUUUCAGCUGCUCCCAGUCCUGGAGCUGUUGGGAUGAGGUUUGGGAAGGGAAGGAGCUCCCGGGGAGCUCUGGAAUCCCUGCCCUGA